This is a long non-coding RNA of Pseudophryne corroboree (corroboree frog), 1916 nucleotides long. RefSeq lists it as uncharacterized. The record is from RefSeq and is a predicted model, not a curated record. The transcript has 4 exons. NCBI's taxonomy places the organism in Eukaryota, Metazoa, Chordata, Amphibia, Anura, Myobatrachidae.
GAUGUGCUCGGGGCUCCAUGGGGAAGAGGCAGGGAGGAGAGAGUGGCGAUGUCCUGCUGGGCUCAGUCAGUCAGUGUCAGGCUGAUGUGCUCGGGGCUCCGUGGGGAAGAGGCAGGGAGGAGAGAGUGGCCAUGUGCAUGAUGCCUGCUGCUGCAUGGUGCUAUGUAUGUAUUUAUUUAUUUAUUUAUGUAUGUAUGUAUGUACAGAGUACUGUAUAUGUGUGUAUGUAAGUACAUUGUCUAUGUAUAUGUACAGACAGUGUAUAUGUAGGUGUGUACAGUGUGCAUGUAUGUAUGUAUGUAUGUACAGUGUGUAUGUAUGUAUGUAUGUACAGUUUGUAUGUUUGUGUUUACAAUGUAUAUCUGUAUGUGUGUACAGUGUGUAUGUAUGUGUGUGUACAUGUAUGUGUGUACAGUGUGUAUGUAUGUACAGAGUACUGUACAUGUAUGUAAGUACAUUGUCUAUGUAUGUACAGUGUAUAUGUAUGUGUGUACAGUGUGUGUGUAUGUACCUAUGGAUGUACAAUGUAUAUGUAUUGUAUGUAUGUACAGAGUACUGUAUAUAUGUGUAUGUAGGUACAUUGUCUAUGUAUGUACAGUGUAUAUGUAUGUGUGUUCAGUAUGUAUGUAUGUAUGUAUGUAUGUAUGUGUUUGUACAGUGUAUAUGUAUGUGUGUACAGUGUAUUUGUAUGUGUAUACAGUAUGUAUGUGUAUGUACAGUGUAUAUGUAUGUGUGUGUAUAGUGUUUAUGUAUGUACAGUGUAUAUGUAUGUGUAUAUGUGUAUGUACAUGGUGUAUGUGUGUACAGUGUCUGUAUGUAUGUGUGUACAGUGUGUGUAUAGUGUAUAUGUAUGUACAGUGUAUAUGUAUGUGUGUAUAGUGUAUAUGUAUGUACAGUGUAUAUGUAUGUAUGUAUGUAUGUAUGUAUGAACAGUGUGUGUAUAUAUGUGUGUACAGCUGGGCCAUAGUUGGCUACCCUCCCACCUUCUGCGGGAGACUCAGUUCACGGUGGAGUUUCCCGCUGCCCCAUAUUUUACAUGAAUUCCCCCAAAUUAAAUUGCAACAUCCUUAAUCAGGAUUGCACAAGUGUGAGUCCAUAUACGACAGGGUGGGUCCUGGACGAGAGGACUGGGCCAGAAGCAAACCCUAUCCACGAGCCUGCUGGUUCCCCCACCCACCUCCUGACCAAAAAACAUCUGACAAGAGCCGUCAAGAAAGGACCCCUCUGCCCCCAUCUAGAUCCCUGCUACACUGAUCAUCUGGCAAAGAGAUUUGCAGAGUGUCGGGUGACCGGCAAAGAGAUCUGCAAAGUGUCAGUUGAAGACGACGGGAGGGGUCGCAGAGGUAGCAACGACUGGAGUAUAACAUGAAGGUGAUCAUCAUUUGGCAAAGUUCUGGCAAAGAGAAUUGCAGAGUGUCGGGUGACCGGCAAAGAGAUCUGCAAAGUGUCAGUUGAAGACGACGGGAGGGGUCGCAGAGGAAUUAGUGACUGGAGAAUAGCAUGCAGGAGUGGGUGAUGCUUGAAUAGCUGCCCUGGGAGGAGAGCUGCGGACACAUGCUCCAAAUGUUGGGACAUAGGCAUUACCUAUUAGGAGAUGCGGUAAAGAUGCCGGCUGACGGGUUUAUGGCAGUCAGAAUACUGACACUGGGAUCCCGACACUCUUCAGACUCCCGACGUUGGAACUUCGAAUGGACAAAGAUUCCGACGCCCGUUUCCCCACGAUCAUAUGUUUAGGGCUGGGCAAGGGGGGUUAGGUUUAGGCGUCAGGCGGGGGGUUAGGGUUAGGCUGCAGGUGGUGAAGGGUAAGGAUAUGCUGCGGAUACGGUGGAUUAGGCACCCCCGGGGGUGGUUAGGCUGCGUGGGAGAGAGGGUUAGGUUUAGGCAUCAGGCGGGAGGGUUAGGUUUAGGCGUUAGGC